GAAAAAUAGUGAAAAGGUACAGCCCCAGGAGGGUCCUCUGCAGCUGGGAGAGCAUCACCCCAGCUGCAAGGGAGCAGAGACAGUAACUCAAAGCUUCUCAGUGAGCUCUUAUGUGUUAUGGAACAGAUGACCAAGAGAAAAAGAAGUGGAUAUAAGCAGGAAAACAAAAGGGGCCCAGAAGUAUGCUCUACUUGCUUAUCUGUUCCAGGCACAAAACACCAGCAUGAUCUACACUUCAAUCAGCAGGGCUGCCUUACUUUGAAGAGUUCACAAUCAAAAGCAAUAGAAGAACAAAUACAAAGCUCACAUGGUUACCAUCUUCAAGUUUUCCCUUCAUCUGAUGGAAAUCUGUACAGGAGGCAGGAUAAUGAAAGUAUAUGAAUGACCUUCCCUCACCAUGGCUUUCAGCUACUAUUCUUGAAGAUUUGAAGUCUCUUGGAUUCAAGCCCUAACUCCUCUUAUGUCGGCAAACUCCAGUUUGAAUUAGUUUUCUCCUUUAACAAAAACUCCUGCUGUGUUGGAGAAUCUCUUAAUUACUUUUCAAGUUUCCCCUGUUAUUGUGGAAAUCUAUGAAAAUCUGACUACAGUGCUAAUAAAAUGAGUGAAUAACAUUUUUUUUCA
RNAcentral lists this long non-coding RNA (621 nucleotides) under Phasianus colchicus (ring-necked pheasant). Its description in RNAcentral is "lncRNA (ENSPCLG00000003323.1)". The record is from RNAcentral. Lineage: Eukaryota; Metazoa; Chordata; Aves; Galliformes; Phasianidae.